UUGCCUACGGGAGGCAGCAGUGGGGGAUAUUGCACAAUGGGCGCAAGCCUGAUGCAGCGACACCGCGUGAGCGAAGAAGUAUUUCGGUAUGUAAAGCUCUAUCAGCAGGGAAGAAAAUGACGGUACCUGACUAAGAAGCUCCGGCUAAAUACGUGCCAGCAGCCGCGGUAAUACGUAUGGAGCAAGCGUUAUCCGGAUUUACUGGGUGUAAAGGGAGCGUAGGCGGGAAGCCAAGUCAGCUGUGAAAACUACGGGCUUAACCUGUAGACUGCAGUUGAAACUGGCUUUCUUGAGUGAAGUAGAGG
Molecule: ribosomal RNA, 305 nt
Filed under: uncultured bacterium
Lineage: Bacteria
Description: bacterial SSU rRNA
Rfam family: Bacterial small subunit ribosomal RNA
Source: RNAcentral